This 70-nucleotide transfer RNA is filed under the name Ixodes scapularis (black-legged tick). It matches the Rfam family "tRNA". Rfam says of the family: Transfer RNA (tRNA) molecules are approximately 80 nucleotides in length. The record is from Rfam by way of RNAcentral. Lineage: Eukaryota; Metazoa; Arthropoda; Arachnida; Ixodida; Ixodidae.
UCCUGGUUAGUUCAGUUGGUAGAGCGCUCCACUGGAAAUGGAGAGGUCCCUGGUUCGAAACCAAGACCAG